Molecule: ribosomal RNA, 253 nt
Filed under: uncultured bacterium
Lineage: Bacteria
Description: partial 16S ribosomal RNA
Rfam family: Bacterial small subunit ribosomal RNA
Source: RNAcentral
UACGUAGGGUGCAGGCGUUAAUCGGAAUUACUGGGCGUAAAGCGUGCGCAGGCGGUUUGCUAAGACAGGUGCGAAAUCCCCGGGCUUAACCUGGGAACUGCGCUUGUAACUGGCAAGCUUGAGUGUGGCAGAGGGGGGUGGAAUUCCACGUGUAGCAGUGAAAUGCGUAGAGAUGUGGAGGAAUACCGAUGGCGAAGGCAGCCCCCUGGGAUAACACUGACGCUCAUGCACGAAAGCGUGGGGAGCAAACAGG